GAUGAACGCUGGCGGCGUGCCUAAUACAUGCGAGUCGAGCGAACAUACUAUGAGCUUUCUCCUUCGACGUUAGCGGCGGAAGGGUGAGUAGCACGUAGGUAACCCAUCUAUAAUACUGGGAGAACUUCGGGAAACCGGAGCGAAUACCGGAUAAUAUUGCGAACCGCAUGGUUCGAUAGUUAAAGAUGGCGUUGCUAUCACUUAUAGAUGUAGCUGCGCAGUAUUAGCUAGUUGGUAAGGUAAAGGCUUACCAAGGGCACGAUACGUAGCCGAACUGGGAGGGUGAUCGGCCACACUGGGACUGAGACACGGCCCAGACUCCUACGGGAGGCAGCAGUAGGGAAUCUUCCGCAAUGGGCGAAAGCCUGACGGAGCAACGCCGCGUGAGUGAAGAAGGUCUUCGGAUCGUAAAACUCUGUUAUUAGGGAAGAAAAAAAGUGUAAGAAACAGUGAAAGUCUUGACGGUACCUAAUCAGAAAGCCACGGCUAACUACGUG
This 497-nucleotide ribosomal RNA is filed under the name uncultured bacterium. Its description in RNAcentral is "partial 16S ribosomal RNA". It matches the Rfam family "Bacterial small subunit ribosomal RNA", at positions 28 to 507 of the family's 1533-position model. The record is from RNAcentral.